Molecule: ribosomal RNA, 377 nt
Filed under: uncultured Anaerolineae bacterium
Lineage: Bacteria; Bacillati; Chloroflexota; Anaerolineae
Description: bacterial SSU rRNA
Rfam family: Bacterial small subunit ribosomal RNA
Source: RNAcentral
UAAUACGGAGGGUGCAAGCGUUAAUCGGAAUUACUGGGCGUAAAGCGCGCGUAGGCGGUUUGUUAAGUCGGAUGUGAAAGCCCGGGGCUCAACCCCGGAACUGCCUCUAAAACUUCCAAGCUUGAGUGCAAGAGGGGAAAGCGGAAUUCCAGGUGUAGAGUUGAAAUUCGUAGAGAUCUGGAGGAACACCGGUGGCGAAGGCGGCUUUCUGGAUUGCAACUGACGCUAAGGCGCGAAAGCUAGGGGAGCAAACAGGAUUAGAUACCCUGGUAGUCCUAGCCCUAAACGAUGGAUGCUAGGCGUGGCGGGAGUCGAUCCCCGCCGUGCCGAAGCUAACGCGUUAAGCAUCCCGCCUGGGGAGUACGGUCGCAAGGCUG